Theileria parva strain Muguga is the source of this 74-nucleotide transfer RNA. It matches the Rfam family "tRNA". Rfam says of the family: Transfer RNA (tRNA) molecules are approximately 80 nucleotides in length. Their secondary structure includes four short double-helical elements and three loops (D, anti-codon, and T loops). NCBI's taxonomy places the organism in Eukaryota, Apicomplexa, Aconoidasida, Piroplasmida, Theileriidae. The record is from Rfam.
AUCUUAAUAGCUUAAUAUGGAUAAAGUAGUCGAUUGUUAAUCGAUUUAUAUUGGUUCAAUUCCAAUUUAAGGUG